Molecule: ribosomal RNA, 668 nt
Filed under: Inocybe nitidiuscula
Lineage: Eukaryota; Fungi; Basidiomycota; Agaricomycetes; Agaricales; Inocybaceae
Description: eukaryotic LSU rRNA
Rfam family: Eukaryotic large subunit ribosomal RNA
Source: RNAcentral
UUGGAGACCUCAAAUCAGGUAGGACUACCCGCUGAACUUAAGCAUAUCAAUAAGCGGAGGAAAAGAAACUAACAAGGAUUCCCCUAGUAACUGCGAGUGAAGCGGGAAAAGCUCAAAUUUGAAAUCUGGCAGUUCUUGACUGUCCGAGUUGUAAUCUAGAGAAGUGUUACCUGUGCUGGACCGUGUACAAGUCUUCUGGAAUGGAGCAUCAUAGAGGGUGAGAAUCCCGUCUUUGACACGGACUACCUGUGCGUUAUGGUGCGCUCUCAAAGAGUCGAGUUGUUUGGGAAYGCAGCUCAAAAUGGGUGGUAAAUGCCAUCUAAAGCUAAAUAUUGGCGAGAGACCGAUAGCGAACAAGUACCGUGAGGGAAAGAUGAAAAGAACUUUGGAAAGAGAGUUAAACAGUACGUGAAAUUGCUGAAAGGGAAACGCUUGAAGUCAGUCGCGUUGGCUAGAAAUCAGCCUUGCUCUUGCACGGUGUACUUUCUGGUUGACGGGUCAGCAUCAAUUUUGACCAUUGGAUAAAGUCUUUGGGAAUGUGGCAUCUUAGGAUGUGUUAUAGCCCAUUGUCGCAUACGGUGGUUGGGAUUGAGGAACUCAGCACGCCGCAAGGCCAGGUUUCGACCAUGUUCGUGCUUAGGAUGCUGGCAUAAUGGCUUUAAUCGACC